GUGUUUUCUAAAGUACAUGUGAUUUUGUGUCCUAUUUUUGUUUGGCUCCCAUGACUAUUCGUCAUUACAUAUAAAGGAAACAAAUAGCUGCUUGUUAUGGACUUGUAUUCUUAUUCUUUCACGCUGGUCUCUUAUGCGCAACAUUUAUUAUCCUUUUACAGGUUGCAUCUCUUUGCCCUUGGAAGUUGGAACUCUCCUUAUUAUUGCUAACUGUUAAUGCUAUCUGAACGUCACACCAUGAGAUCAUGAUGCCCUUUCUCACAGCGAAACUCGCUGGGCAGUAUGUAGCAGUAGAUGCAGUUGGACUACUGGUCUCAACACUGCAGGUUGUGCUUCUUCCCGUAUUGGCCGGUGCAUUUCUAAAUCAGUACUUCCAGGCCUAGUUAGACUUAUUUCCCCCUUGAUGCCACCCAUCGCGGUCGGGACUGUAGCCAUUCUUUGCGGGAAUGCUAUUGCCCAGAGCUCUUCUGCAAUCCUCAAGUCUGGACUGCAAGUGGUGCUUGCUGCCUCUCUUCUUCACGCAUCUGGAUUCUUCUUUGGCUACAUACUUUCUAGAUUGCUCGGGAUUGAUGUGGCAUCAGCGAGAACUAUCUCUAUUGAGGUUGGCAUGCAGAACUCGGUGCUCGGAGUUGUUCUGGCGACCCAACACUUUGGAAAUCCUUUAACAGCAGUUCCAUGUGCUGUUUCAAGUGUUUGCCAUUCCAUCUUUGGUAGUGUCCUGGCUGGAAUUUGGAGACAGAAUGUGCCCACCCAAACCCAAGAUUGAAUUAUGACUGAUUCUGGCUAGAAGAGGUCCCCUUUAGGAUCAAGAGCGCGACACGUGUCCUCUCGUAUCCGAAGAUCGAACUGCUCAAGCCUGAACAACAAAACCACCAAAGGACUUAGACAAGAUUGAAAUCGAAUUUUGGAGAUUUCCAUCGAUCCAGUUCCCUGUAUGGUAAGGGGGAACCAUGCUAAACACAGGCAGGGAGCCAUGUUGAAGACGGGCAGCUAUGGUAAACUUUUCUUGGAUUUUUAUUUUUGGUUUUCUUUUUAUCUUUGGGAGAACUGCACCCGCAUUCUUGAGUAGAUAAAUGGUUGUAACAUCUUAAAGAGGUGUUGGAAAGAUUAAAAAUGCACAUUGUAUUUUGUGUUUUAAACCGCGUUGUGAUCUUGAGCAUUACCAGACUCAGGAAAAAAAAUCUCAAGACGGUGCAAGUUUUCAUGGAUACCAAACCAAACAGUAUCAUACAAUGGAAAGUUACAAGCUUGCUAUUAAGACUGCAAAAUGCAAGUGCAAGCUACGCGUAAA
Morus notabilis is the source of this 1291-nucleotide long non-coding RNA. RefSeq lists it as uncharacterized. The record is from RefSeq and is a predicted model, not a curated record. The transcript has 4 exons. Lineage: Eukaryota; Viridiplantae; Streptophyta; Magnoliopsida; Rosales; Moraceae.